This 165-nucleotide ribosomal RNA is filed under the name uncultured bacterium. Its description in RNAcentral is "partial 16S ribosomal RNA". It matches the Rfam family "Bacterial small subunit ribosomal RNA", at positions 355 to 511 of the family's 1533-position model. The record is from RNAcentral.
UAGGGAAUCUUCGGCAAUGGACGAAAGUCUGACCGAGCAACGCCGCGUGAGUGAAGAAGGUUUUCGGAUCGUAAAACUCUGUUGGUAGCGAAGAACGUUGGUGAGAGUGGAAAGCUCAUCAAGUGACGGUAACUACCCAGAAAGGGACGGCUAACUACGUGCCAU